This is a long non-coding RNA of Equus asinus (donkey), 4080 nucleotides long. NCBI's taxonomy places the organism in Eukaryota, Metazoa, Chordata, Mammalia, Perissodactyla, Equidae. The record is from Ensembl.
UGCGCGCGGCGGCUCCGCCCCUGCGACUCCGGGAUCCUCGGCCGCCCCGCCCCCGCCUCUCCUCGGGCCCGCGAUUUACUGAGGAAACGGGAUCUCUGCCCUGUGGGACGUCCGAGCCCUCGCAUUCGGCUCAGGCCUUACUGAUGAUGUCGUUUGACCUGUUUCUCUGUCCUCCAUGGUUCUCGGAAAUUCAUAGUCCGCUUUAAAGUCCUGAGGAGAGCCGCGCUCGCUUUUUCGAGCCUGCGCGCUUCGUCGGGAGGGCAGCCCGGUGGAGGCGCCUGGCGAAGCGGGGGCUUCAGCGGAGGUCGUCAGCCCGACCCCCGUUAGAAGGGUUCCCACCAAACCUCCUAAUGCUUUUCGAAUACACUGCGGGUCUCGUUUGUUUGUUUUUAACCCUUGGCUCACGAGCUGUAAGGAUGUAAACCCAAGGCCCUUGGUGUCCAAGUUCCGUGCGCCGAGGAACAAAACUGAGAAUAAGGGCAGGAAAAGACACAGAGAAUGUCAGUGUUCUUUGAGUCUCUGGAUCGUUCUAUCCUCUCCAUGCUUUGGCUCCGAGAGCUAACCAAUUACCUUUCCCACGUAGGCAAAACUGAAGCUGUGUUUCCGGCGCUGCGCCGCUGAGAGGCUCUCCUGGAGCCGCCGCGGGUGGGCCUGGUUGCUGGGUCUCGGGCCCCGCCUCCCGCACUCGCCGCCCCGCUGUGGCCGCGCUUUCUUCGGCAGAGGCCGUCGCGUCUGAAAAAUGGCUCCGCCCACCCUCGUCUCUGUUGGAAUGCCGACUGAUGUGUCUCUUCUGGAUGGUUUCUGAAUGUCGUUUUCUGUCAGGCAGGUGUGCUGCCUCAUCCAUUAGGACAACGUGCCAGAGCAAUAAAUCAUUGCCUACUGUUGGUAGCAAUGGCUGGAAAUUGGGUGUUAUGGUCUGACCAUUUGGUGAGCUCUGCACUGGAUGAAUCAUUUGAAGAGAUCCAGUGUCUGUUGGGUGAGACAACAGAGAAGCUAGUUUGUUUGCCUGUUCAUCUAUUUGGGCUCAAAUCAAUCAAGACUGUUGUGUGCCACCAAGAAGGUGAAUAGCUCUUUGAUAUCUGAACUAGUAAAUAUUUUGCUUCUGUGUUUUCUCUUGACUCAUGACUGAAAUUUUAGAAUUGAAGCUGUAAACUCUACAUGUCUCUAUGUCUGUAAUUCAGAAAGGUCUCUACCUCUCAUUGUCUGAGUGUAUGAUGUUUUUCUAAAUCUGGAUGGUAUUAGAUUAUCAAAUCUCCUAAAUUAAAAAAGCCUUGUUCUGACUGGCUUAUAAGCGCUUGUAAGUGAAAUGUAGUAUUCCUACAAUUCUCAGAAAGUAAGGAAAUAGAACUUCUAAGUUUUAAAAUGUGCUGGGUUUAAAAAGUAUUUUAAAAGAAAUUAGCUCAGAAACAUUUUAAGAAUUCAAGUUUACACAAUUUAGGUAAAUCUUUCGCAAACUAAACUAGUUUAAUAAUUUGGUUUAAUAAAAACAGCUAUUUCUUCUCUGAUUUAUCAGUGUUACAUGUAACACAAGUGUUUAUUUUUAUUAUACUUGGGUAUGUUUUUUUCUAAAUUAUACAGGUUUACUGAUAAGCUAGGAUUACUUCUACUUAAUGCUUGCUUAUGAAAAAUGUAAAUUUGUAUUUGACCCCAUUGAAUCUUUAUUCUGAUGAAUUAUUAUUCCAUUAGUAAUAUGUUCUAUACUGUGUCAGCUUGAAGAUAAAUGUCGAAGAUCUAGGUAGCCUACAAUCUUGGAUUGGUAUUAAAUUGGGUUAAUUAACGGAAAAUCAUUGGAUACCUAGAUCAUUUCUAAGUAAGAUUGAAUACUAAAGUAUUAAUUAAUAAGCAUAAUUUUAACUUUAUAUACCUUUGCUUCUUAUUUUUAUAUACUAUAGAAAGACUCUGUCUGUGGGUCAUGUCAAUGAACAUGUUGAUUUUUGCCACUUUAGGAAGAUGUAUAUGGGACAUUAGCAACUGUGGAAAAUUGGGUUAAUUCAUGAAUUAUUGAAUUCAUGAGCUCUGCUAGUCUGAUAACAUGCUGGGGUGUGACAGUUCACUUUAUCCACCCCCCAGUUUUCUCUACAAAACAGAAGUUAUUUUGGUUAACAUUUAUGUGUUAUAAAUGGUUGAAACUACACUGAGAAGGAAUGGUUGCAGAGAAAUAUAACUGUGUAUGUGCUUCUGUUUUUUCAAGGAAAAGACUAGUUUUGCCUUAAAGCAGCAUCGUGAAGUUUUUAAUAUUACUUUAUUUUUCUUUUAAUCUCUCUAGUAUCUAUAAUGAGGUCUCCUCUUUCAUUCCUGAUGUUGGUAAUUUGUGUUUUCCCUCUUAUUUUCUUGAUCUCUCUGGCUAGAAUUUUAUCAAUUUUAUUGUAUUUUGCAAAAAACAAGUUUUUGGCUUCAUUUUUUUCCUACUGUUCAUUUCUAUGUCAUUGAUUUCUGCUAUUUACUAUUUCCAUCCCUCUAUUUACUUUAGGUUUAAUCGGCUCUUCUUUCUCUCGUUUCCUAUAGUAGAAAUUUAGAUUAUAAAUUUUAGAUUAAACCUUUCUUCUUUUCUAAUAGAAGCAUUUAAAGCCAUAAAUUUGCCUCUAGGCAGUCUUAGCUACUUUAACUGUAUGCUACAAAUUUUAAUGUGCUGUGUUUAUAUUUUCAUUUAGUUCAAAAUAUUUACUUUCCCCUUUAUUUUUUUUUGGUCACAUGGAUUAUUUAGAUGCUUAUUUUUAGUUUUCAAAUAUUUGGGGGAUUUCCUAGGUAUCUUCAUGUUAUUUUUCUAGUUUAAUUCUAUUGUGGUAUCAUUUCAAUUAUUUUAAAUGUACUGAGUCUUGUUUUAUAGCCCAGGAUAUGGUAUGCCUAGUGAAUGUUCCAUGUGCCCAGGAAAAGAAUGUACAGUUGUUGGCUAAAGUGUUAUAUAAAUGUUAAUAGGUCAAGUUAGUUGAUAAUGUUGUUCAAAUCAUGUAUAUCCUUACUGAUUUUUGGUGCUUCUCCAUCAGUUAUCGAGAGAGGACUGUUGAAAUCUCUAGCUAUAAUUUUGGAGUUCUCUGUUUGGCCUUUCAGUUUCAGUUCCAACAGUUUUUGCUUUGUGUCUUUUGAAACUCCGUUGUUAGAUACAUACACGUUUAGGAUUGCUACGUCUUCUUGAGGAAUUGAUCCUGUUAUCAUUAUGAAAUGUUCCCCAACUAUCACAACUACUAAAAUUAAUCAGAUGGAUUUUUGAUGAUUUAUAAAAACAUUUAAAAUUAAAACACAAUUUGUGUUUCACCAAAACUACAUCUCCUUUAUCCUGCUUUAAUUUUUUCCAUGGCAACUAUCUCCAUCACACAAUUUGUUUGUUUUUCAUCUUCUCCCACUAGAAUAAAAGUUCUAAAGAGUAAGAUGUCAUCUGUUUUGUUCACUGCUGUAUCCCAACUACCUGUCACAAAGUCUGACCUCAGUAAAUACUUUCUGCAUGAAUAAUAUAUAAAAAAGCUGCAACAACUGGAAGAACAUAAUAUUUCCAUGACUCUACCCCAUUUGCUCUGUGGUAAGAUGGCCUCUGCUCACACAAGGCUAUUUCAGAAAUAGCUUCUACACCCCAGCUCUCCCGCUGCCCUUCUGCACAACUAGUGCCACAAAACAGUGUUGCUGUGGGUUCUCAGGGCCUCAGACAUUAGUGAGAUAACUCUUUGUUUUAGCUUGUUCUUUGUAUCUCAGCCGCCUCUCCUCUAGCUAGGAUUUAGUCCUGAAUCAUUCCAGAGUGGUGAGUCUGAGUGACAGACACCCAGAUCCUGGCCCCUCACCCUGGACCCCUGUAAGGAGCCUCCACUCACUCCUUCAGGAGGCUGUUCAGGCCCUCAUAUAAGACGGACUCUUGGGGCCAGCCUCACUGUUUCUACUAGUAGCUCUAUAUAUCCCUGGGUUGUAAGGUGAUCAGGAGUUUGGUUCUUAUACCAAACCCAGCUGCAUAAAGCAUUUACAUUUCACAUCUCCUUACCACACUGUGGUUUCACUUCCCUCACCAAUUCUGUUCAUUCACAUGGCUGAAGGUUUUUGUUUUCCCAGGAAAUUUAAGCUUCAGAAAAACUGAAGCUACUCUCACUGUAAUAUUUG